This 464-nucleotide ribosomal RNA is filed under the name uncultured bacterium. Its description in RNAcentral is "bacterial SSU rRNA". It matches the Rfam family "Bacterial small subunit ribosomal RNA", at positions 34 to 507 of the family's 1533-position model. The record is from RNAcentral.
CGCUGGCGGCAGGCCUAACACAUGCAAGUCGAGCGAGGUAGCAAUACCUAGCGGCGGACGGUGAGUAACGCGUAUGCAACCUACCUAUCACAGGGGAAUAGCCUUUGGAAACAGGGAUUAAUACCGCAUAAAGCAGGGGACACCGCAUGGUGAUAUUGCUAAAGAUUUAUCGGUGAUAGAUGGGCAUGCGUCUGAUUAGUUAGUUGGCAGGGUAACGGCCUACCAAGACGAUGAUCAGUAGGGGGCGUCAGAGCGUGGUCCCCCACACUGGCACUGAGAUACGGGCCAGACUCCUACGGGAGGCAGCAGUAGGGAAUAUUGGGCAAUGGAUGCAAGUCUGACCCAGCCAUGCCGCGUGCAGGAAGAAGGUCCUCUGGAUUGUAAACUGCUUUUAUCGGGGAAGAAUAGUUUUCUUGCGAGGGAAUGUGACGGUACCCGAUGAAUAAGCCACGGCUAACUACGUG